This 328-nucleotide ribosomal RNA is filed under the name uncultured eukaryote. Its description in RNAcentral is "partial 18S ribosomal RNA". It matches the Rfam family "Eukaryotic small subunit ribosomal RNA", at positions 1470 to 1796 of the family's 1831-position model. The record is from RNAcentral.
CCCUUAGAUGUCCUGGGCCGCACGCGCGUUACACUGAUGCAUUCAACGAGCUUAUAACCUUGGCCGAGAGGCCUGGGCAAUCUUGUUAACGUGCAUCGUGGUAGGGAUAGAUUAUUGAAAUUAUUAAUCUUGAACGAGGAAUUCCUAGUAAACGCAGAUCAUCAAUCUGCAUUGAUUACGUCCCUGCCCUUUGUACACACCGCCCGUCGCUCCUACCGAUUGGGUGUGCUGGUGAAAUGUUCGGAUCGGCCGUUUGUCGCGGUUUCCGCGUCAUGUGGCUGAGAAGUUCAUUAAACCCUCCCACCUAGAGGAAGGAGAAGUCGUAACA